GAUGGACUUAGAGAACUGAUAUGCUACACUGUAAGAUGUGCUAUCCAGUAAGAUUGCAGCUUCAUUCAGUCACCCCAUACUACUGUUAUCUGAUGUGCUUUACAAAGUGUAGCUGCCCAAACCAUCUCAGGACUUUUAACCACUGUAUAACCUGUAGAAUAGUUCAAGGUUAUGAGGGAAGACAGGCUGCAAUGUUUCAUAAGUCCAUGAUGAAGAAGAUAUUCCCUGUGAUUGGCCAGAGGUAGCCAUGAAGGAUUCUGUAUUUAGAAAAGUCUUUGAAUUCCAAGAAAAAGAGGAGGUAGGCUAAAAGGGAGCUGUGAUCAAUAGCAGAGGUAUCAUUGUGUGGAUAUAAAGAAGGGCUGUGUGAUGAUCCUCUUUAGCACAGAGUUCAGAGACCUAGAUAAUGUCAACACUGAAUUUUUGCACAUUUCUUGUGGAAGUAGUGAGCAAGGACCAGAAAUUGUUGGUGGUUACUGCGGCUCUGGACAUCAGUGUUGAUCAUCUGUACCUGUUGUCAUGGAGAUCAGGUUAACAUACAUACUCCAGACCAUAUGGUGCCACAGCUGACAGCUGAGAUUCAUCAACAGAAAAGCAGCCUGGGAGCCCACCUUCCUAUCAGUAUGACAGCAAGGACAAAUCUGGUUCAGUUCAUCAAAUACAAGUCUUGACCAAUAGAUUAACUUAGACCCAUUCCCAGACCUAGAUCGAUCUAGCAGGAUCGACCCAUCUCUGAGGGAAUUCUCACUAAAUUUGAGUUCAGAUUAAGCAGCUUAGAUGUCUGGCACACCUACUGAACUUUUCGUCAAUCGAAAUCAAGUGAAGUCUAAUUCAUUUAAUUCUAAAAAAUAAAAGAUAAUAUAUACAUAUCGUAAACUUUGAUGUUGUGAAAAACUCAAAAACUGGAUAAGGGAAGAAAAGGAAGCCAGUGUUCAGAUUUACGCAUCAGAUAUUAUUUUCAGAAAUGAUGAUAAGUAAAUAAAUAUUGUAAUUUCUCAGGUAAAAUAAUACAUUUACAGAAAAUAAAAAAAAUGGAGGGCAUCUGUAUUACAGUGACAUCGAAUUCCUUCUGAACUAAAAAAUUAUGCUUUGCUUGUCUUUAUAUGUAUUUAUUUCAUACAGUAGUUACAUAUAUGUAGCUCGCAAUAAAGUGGCAUGGUAGGGUAUAUGGAUAUGUAUUUAUGUUAUACAGUACAGUAGUUACAUAUAUGUAGCUCGCAAUAAAGUGGCAUGGUAGGGUAUACGGAUAUGUAUUUAUGUUAUACAGUACAGUAGUUACAUAUAUGUAGCUCGCAAUAAAGUGGCAUG
RNAcentral lists this long non-coding RNA (1305 nucleotides) under Lingula anatina. RNAcentral describes it as "uncharacterized LOC106159501, transcript variant X1". Lineage: Eukaryota; Metazoa; Brachiopoda; Lingulata; Lingulida; Lingulidae. The record is from RNAcentral.